UAAAAUGCUAUAGGUAGCUUCCAAGGUGAAAAUAUGCCCCGUAACAUAAACACUAAAACUUUGUCAGCAACAUUGUUAGUGCGUUCACCACCUCCUAGAUCUUCAAACCCUUCAAUAACACCAAUACAACCUCAGAAUGCAGGGACUCAUGAGGUACAGGACUCAGUGAUUGUGAAUAAUGAGUGACAGAAGUUGUUGGCUCUAAAAUAUUG
Long non-coding RNA from Maniola jurtina (meadow brown), 212 nucleotides. RefSeq lists it as uncharacterized. The record is from RefSeq and is a predicted model, not a curated record. The transcript has 2 exons. Lineage: Eukaryota; Metazoa; Arthropoda; Insecta; Lepidoptera; Nymphalidae.